AUGAAUCUCCCUCCGGGGCGCUUCGCUCUGGGCUCUUCCAUAUUGCAGGAGCUUCCAUAUUGCAGGGUGCUACUAGUGCUGGGAGAACCAUUUAGAUAUAUCUAUCUGAAAGUAUAGUGUUUGCUAAAUCGAUGUACUACCUGCAUUCAAACUACUGCAAACACUUUGAAAUUGAUAUCUCUUUGAAAUUUGUUAGAUGACUAUGCUUAUCCACUCCUGUUGCCUUGGUAUUAUACUGUUGUUGGUUAAUCCUGCUACCAACUUGCAUUUGCUUAUUUGUGCGCCUUGCAGAUUACUCCGUGUUUGUAAUUAUUCUGCAUUAGCAUUGAGUGCUCUCUCUGCUUGCAUGAUGACUAGUAACUUUCUUGCUAGCUAAUUUAGUUUGUGCUGCUAGACUAAGUAGUUAUUUUCAGUACUAUUUUUAUUGUCUGGUGGUUGUUUGCAUGUCGCCUUGAAUUUUUUUUUGUAGGUCUGUAAUGAUGCUUGCUUGGUAGUUAAGCUCGGCCUAGAUGCUGAAUGUGAUUGUGUGUUGUUUUCUCAUGCUCCUGCUGCUGUUUGACUUCAGUCGGCUUAUCUACACAGGAGUAGACCACGAACAAUGGUGGCUGCAUGUGCUCCUUUGAAUCACAUGGGCUACGAAGGCAGGCCGAUCUUUGAUUUCUGACUGCUCUCGAAUGUUCCGAUCUGGCCUGUUGGGUUCACUCUUUAUGGGUCACUUUCUCAUUACUAUUACCAUAUCUGUGUGGUAACCAUUGUUAGACUGAUAGGUGGAUCUAAUGUGUAGUCAAUUAUUUAUGUUUGAAUUCCAUUGGUAACUUAAAGCUAUUACUUGCUGAAAACAGUAGUUAGACUGAUAGGUGGAUCUAAUGUGUAGUCAAUUAUUUAUGUUUGAAUUUCAUUAGUAACUUAGAGCUAUUACUUGCUGUUAUAAAUUUAUAGUAGUCCAUUGAUCACAAUUCCUUUUAUUGCAAUAUUGCCGACUGUAAGAAUUUGACAUUUUGACAAUGUGCUCUUUUCAUUUUCAGGCUGAGGAUGAUUAUAUGCAAGGAACAGAGAUGAUCUUUUAUCUCCAUACUUUCUAUGCUUCUAAGUUUAAGCUUAAGAUGUAAUGCUAGCUGUGUCGCUGGAUAAGACACGCAUGAUUAAGCAACUGAGAGGGAGACAGUGGACAAGGUGAGAGGGAGGACGACAACACACCCCAUUGCAAGAGAUUGAAAAUUUGAAGAUGGCAACUAAGGCGUUGAUCCAUUACUUUUUUAUUACUUUCUAAUUUAUGAUGAAAUGUCACUGCAUAUUGUCUUAUAUCUUGUGAAAAUUGGUAUUGUAAUUCUGAAAAUGGGUUGUAAUAGCUUAUUGUGACUUCUGGGAUGGAACUUUUGUUUUAAUAAGUGGACUGGAAAAAUUGGUGGGCUGUUUUUUAUA
Long non-coding RNA from Panicum virgatum (switchgrass), 1422 nucleotides. RefSeq lists it as uncharacterized. The record is from RefSeq and is a predicted model, not a curated record. The transcript has 3 exons. NCBI's taxonomy places the organism in Eukaryota, Viridiplantae, Streptophyta, Magnoliopsida, Poales, Poaceae.